GACGAACGCUGGCGGCGUGCUUAACACAUGCAAGUCGAACGGAAAGGCCCUGCCUUUGUGGGGUGCUCGAGUGGCGAACGGGUGAGUAACACGUGAGUAACCUGCCCUUGACUUUGGGAUAACUUCAGGAAACUGGGGCUAAUACCGGAUAGGAGCUCCUGCUGCAUGGUGGGGGUUGGAAAGUUUCGGCGGUUGGGGAUGGACUCGCGGCUUAUCAGCUUGUUGGUGGGGUAGUGGCUUACCAAGGCUUUGACGGGUAGCCGGCCUGAGGGGGUGACCGGCCACAUUGGGACUGAGAUACGGCCCAGACUCCUACGGGAGGCAGCAGUGGGGAAUAUUGCACAAUGGGCGGAAGCCUGAUGCAGCAACGCCGCGUGCGGGAUGACGGCCUUCGGGUUGUAAACCGCUUUCGCCUGUGACGAAGCGUGAGUGACGGUAAUGGGUAAAGAAGCACCGGCUAACUACGUG
RNAcentral lists this ribosomal RNA (468 nucleotides) under uncultured bacterium. RNAcentral describes it as "partial 16S ribosomal RNA". It matches the Rfam family "Bacterial small subunit ribosomal RNA", at positions 28 to 507 of the family's 1533-position model. The record is from RNAcentral.